This is a long non-coding RNA of Sinocyclocheilus grahami, 243 nucleotides long. RefSeq lists it as uncharacterized. The record is from RefSeq and is a predicted model, not a curated record. The transcript has 3 exons. NCBI's taxonomy places the organism in Eukaryota, Metazoa, Chordata, Actinopteri, Cypriniformes, Cyprinidae.
AGAAAGUCUGAGAUAGACAGGAUCACACACCUGUAUGAAGAAGGAGAAGACCCAGUGCUAUCACAACCCAUAACUAUUAACCUGAAGGAAGUUAUGAGGGGCAUAGGGCAAGUAACCAACGUUCAGGAGCGUUCCUUCACUGGAACGUGAAAUAUAUCAGACCUCCAGAAGUGGAGCUGGAAAACCAAUGAAAGUGUACGAAAAGAAGAGCAAACUAAUUUUUUUUCAGCAGCACAACCAAUG